AAAAACCGAACCAUCGCCGGAGGAGCGAUGUGCGGGAGGGAGCCGCGGGCAGCAGCACCCACCGCUGCUGGGGCUGCGUGCGGGGACAGACGGUGACACCAGCCUCCGGCCACCCGGUGACCCGGCCACCAGGCGGGACAGCUGCCAUGCCUUCUGCUGUGGGUACGUGGUGGAGGGGCCGUGGGCAGCCUGUGGCAGCUCAGGCGGGGACAGUGAUGGGGGUGCUGUGAACAUGGGGCCGAGCAGUGCGAAUUGCCCCUGCUGCCACGGUGGCCGUGCUGGGGGCUGGGGGCCUGCUCUGGGUGCCCCUGACCCGGCUCUGGGCACAGCGCUGGGGCGGCUGGAGGCUCGCUUGCAGGGCCUUGGUCCUGGUCCAGUUCUUUUCGUUUCGUUUUGUUUUGCCUUCCUUCGCUUUGGGUGGGGACAGAGAACUUGGCCUCCAGAAGAACAGCGAUUCAGUGAGAAACAGAGUUCGCCAUGGACAAGACAAAACAGCCUAGAACAGCAAAAGGAAACUGGCUGAAAAUGCAGAAUUCGG
RNAcentral lists this long non-coding RNA (538 nucleotides) under Anser brachyrhynchus (Pink-footed goose). RNAcentral describes it as "lncRNA (ENSABRG00000019711.1)". The record is from RNAcentral. Lineage: Eukaryota; Metazoa; Chordata; Aves; Anseriformes; Anatidae.